ACCUGUUUGGCUCAGUUGCAAGAGCAUAUGACUCUUGAUCUUGGGGCUGUGAGUUUGAGCCCCACAUUGGGUA
Molecule: transfer RNA, 73 nt
Filed under: Mustela putorius furo (domestic ferret)
Lineage: Eukaryota; Metazoa; Chordata; Mammalia; Carnivora; Mustelidae
Rfam family: tRNA
About the family: Transfer RNA (tRNA) molecules are approximately 80 nucleotides in length. Their secondary structure includes four short double-helical elements and three loops (D, anti-codon, and T loops).
Source: Rfam by way of RNAcentral